This 446-nucleotide ribosomal RNA is filed under the name uncultured bacterium. RNAcentral's name for it is "partial 16S ribosomal RNA". It matches the Rfam family "Bacterial small subunit ribosomal RNA", at positions 338 to 795 of the family's 1533-position model. The record is from RNAcentral.
CCUACGGGGGGCUGCAGUCGAGAAUCAUUCACAAUGGGGGAAACCCUGAUGGUGCGACGCCGCGUGGGGGAAUGAAGGUCUUCGGAUUGUAAACCCCUGUCAUGUGGGAGCAAAUUAAAAAGAUAGUACCACAAGAGGAAGAGACGGCUAACUCUGUGCCAGCAGCCGCGGUAAUACAGAGGUCUCAAGCGUUGUUCGGAAUCACUGGGCGUAAAGGGUGCGUAGGCUGUUUCGUAAGGCGUGUGUGAAAGGCGCGGGCUCAACCCGCGGACGGCACAUGAUACUGCGAGACUAGAGUGAUGGAGGGGGAGGCGGAAUUCUCGGUGUAGCAGUGAAAUGCGUAGAUAUCAAGAGGAACACUGGUGGCGAAGGCGGGUUCCUGGACAGUAACUGACGCUGAGGCACGAAAGCGAGGGGAGCGAAAGGGAUUAGAUACCCUUGUAGUC